ACCUUGGUGUACUUAAUUUCGAGAUUGGGCGUGGGCGACGGCAGGAGGUGCAGCGACGCCAUGAGGGCGGCGGGGUCGGCCUUCACCUCGCCGGGCAUCUCUAUCUUGCUGGAAGUCAUGGUUUCCUUAUGAAAACAAUUUAUUAGGCCUGGUGGAGCCAAUAUCCUGGAGUUGCAGAGGAGAAAAAUAAAUUCUUGCCUCAUAUUUCCUCACCUA
Molecule: long non-coding RNA, 216 nt
Filed under: Homo sapiens (human)
Lineage: Eukaryota; Metazoa; Chordata; Mammalia; Primates; Hominidae
Description: HSALNT0220786
Source: RNAcentral